GAAUUGUACGUUAAUUCUAUUGAUUACUUAUGAAGUCCCAGUGAUCACUGGGAGGUCUGACAGCCUCUAGUUCCUAGAUCCAUCCCAGUGUUAUUAAAAUUGCUGUUCUGUUAGGAACCUCAAGGAGGCAAGUCGCAGCCCUCGCGCUGUAGGAACCUUCUAUGUUUGUAAUCGUGGAUCACACAUUUAGCAGAGUCCCAAACGCUCCAGCUCAGCCCGGGGGACAGCGGUAAUACAGAAGGUCUAUGUGAACCACCCUGUACUCGCGCUGCCCCUUGCAGAACAACCAGAAAUGUUAGUCACUAUCUUCCUCCUCACCAUCACCUUCCUCCUCAUCACCCUGGGCCUUGAUCUGGGCAGCCCCCAAAAGAUGCAUCUCACUCGCCUCCUGCCCACAGGCUGGGGUGCAACUUUUAUAACGUUGCACUGACACCUCUGUGCCUAAUGCCUAUUCAGUAAGGGCUUCUCCCCUCCUCCUUAUCUGUAUCUCCUCACCCUACCGAUGUCGGGGUCCCUUCUCCUGUAGGUUAGGAUGUUACUGAUCUCAGCUUAUUCUCAGACACAUCAAUUCCUUGCCAUGGCCGGCUUGUGGUCAGACAUCUGCAGACGUUGCCAUCCUACAAUAUCCCAAAGUCGGUGUUAGCUCCCGUCCCUGUGGCUGGCUGGUGUCGUUAUGGAGAAACCUCCCCCUUAAACACUCUGUUCCCAGGCCCCCCAAAGGUAGGGGCAAGUUGUGAUAAGUAAAGUUGGGGGGGAGCAGUGCCCUUUGAUGGACACCCAGCCAGCCAGUUAGCUGUCAAAUCCCUCUUGGUAGCUGGUCCCUACUUGCUUUACCUGUCAAGGGUUCAAAAGCCCCCCAGGUAAAGAAACGGAAGUGGGCACCUCACCAAAAGAGACAGCGGGAAGGUAGAACUUUUUCAAAUGGGGAAAGAAACUUUCCCUUUGUCUGUUGGUCUCUCUGGGCUGCGGGGACAGGAGCAGCCAGGCUAUACGCAGCAAUGCUGGGUAAGGUUUGAACCAGGUAUGAAAGAUCAUUUUCCAUUCCUAGCAGGACUCAUUGGGACAGGGAAUGUCCAGGUAGACGUGAUCAGAUUGUUUCUUUAUUUUGCUUGUGGACUCCUCUGUGCUAACCCCAGGUGCUUCUGUUUGCUUGUAACCUUUAAGCUGAAUCCCAAGAAGCUAUUCUGAGUGCUUGGUUUUUGGAACUGCUCUUUUAAAAACUAGCAAAAGCCGAAGUUCCAGACGUAUUUUCUUUCUUUUUGUUUUGAAUAAAAUUUACCGUUUUAAAGGACA
Chelonoidis abingdonii (Abingdon island giant tortoise) is the source of this 1293-nucleotide non-coding RNA. Lineage: Eukaryota; Metazoa; Chordata; Testudines; Testudinidae. The record is from RefSeq and is a predicted model, not a curated record.